Molecule: ribosomal RNA, 468 nt
Filed under: uncultured bacterium
Lineage: Bacteria
Description: partial 16S ribosomal RNA
Rfam family: Bacterial small subunit ribosomal RNA
Source: RNAcentral
GACGAACGCUGGCGGCGUGCUUAGCACAUGCAAGUCGAACGGAAAGGCCCUGCUUUUGUGGGGUGCUCGAGUGGCGAACGGGUGAGUAACACGUGAAUAACCUGCCCUUGACUUUGGGAUAACUUCAGGAAACUGGGGCUAAUACCGGAUAGGAGCUCCUGCUGCAUGGUGGGGGUUGGAAAGUUUCGGCGGUUGGGGAUGGACUCGCGGCUUAUCAGCUUGUUGGUGGGGUAGUGGCUUACCAAGGCUUUGACGGGUAGCCGGCCUGAGAGGGUGACCGGCGACAUUGGGACUGAGAUACGGCCCAGACUCCUACGGGAGGCAGCAGUGGGGAAUAUUGCACAAUGGGCGGAAGCCUGAUGCAGCAACGCCGCGUGCGGGAUGACGGCCUUCGGGUUGUAAACCGCUUUCGCCUGUGACGAAGCGUGAGUGACGGUAAUGGGUAAAGAAGCACCGGCUAACUACGUG